GAGAGCUUGAAGCAAAGACAUAAUAAAACAGUAACAGCUGCUACCGAAGCUGUGUCAUGCAACUUUGCUUAGCCCUUUACUGUAUGGUCUCAUUUAUUCCUUAAGGAAGGUGAGAUUAUAAUAGAAAAGGAAAAUGAAUGUGCCGCAGUCACACAAAUCACUCACUACUACACUGCCACCAGAGCCCAACAGAGUAGCCACAAUUGUUUUCUUCCUAAAAGGUGCAAUGGAGUAAUACUGCACAAUUUCCAUUUAGAUGUCCCUUCAACACGUUUCCUGGGAAUCUUAGAGCAGUUAACACCCAUUUAGAAAGGAGCUUUUUCAUUUCGUAAAUAUGUUCAGUGCACCAAAACAGGCAAACAAGAUAACCCGAACUCUUAACUUGCCUCAGCACCUCACCCCUUAAGAUACAUAGAAACAAAUCAGAAAUUAUGCUCAAUAAGGAAUUUGCAAGGCUGAGGAGGGGGAGCUGGAGUCAAAUCAGCUGGGUCUUCCGCCCCCUUCAGUAGGAGGGGGAAGAUUACUGCAGAGAAUGUAACAAGGAGAAUAAGAGAGAGGGAGGGAGGGGGAAGAGAGAGAGAGAGGGAGGGGGGUGGAGAAAGAGAGAGACAGAGAAGGAAAGGAAGAAAGAAAAAGAGAGAGAAUAACUGUUGCCACCACCAUUUUGUUGCCUGGCAGAGGUGUGAGAUGCAAGGCUGUUUACAAAGCCCCCAGCAAGAGCAAUCCCAUCAUCAGGAGGUUUGCUUCCCCCCCGGGCCAGCCCUCUCGCUCUCCAUGCCCGUCUUGGCUGCAUGCGUUGUACCUAACACAUUUAACCCGCGUUUCUUAAGAGUUCUGCAAAAUGGUGUCUGCUGGUGUUUGCAAGGGAAGCUCCCGCUGGGCGUCCCGAGCUGGGUGGGAGCUGAGUGUGCGGUUCCCUAACGAGCUGGCGGCCGGCCUGAGCGGCUCUGAUCUCCAAUUCUGACGGCUUGUCCUUCAGGUGACCUAUAUUAUCUGGCACCUCAGUUGCUGCUCACAAAGAAAAAGUAUCACUGGAAGAAAGAAAAAAAAAAUCCCAAGUGAUUGUGUACAUGCUCUUUAUUGAGAAUAU
Molecule: long non-coding RNA, 1090 nt
Filed under: Homo sapiens (human)
Lineage: Eukaryota; Metazoa; Chordata; Mammalia; Primates; Hominidae
Description: HSALNT0269121
Source: RNAcentral